Psammomys obesus (fat sand rat) is the source of this 5596-nucleotide long non-coding RNA. RefSeq lists it as uncharacterized. Lineage: Eukaryota; Metazoa; Chordata; Mammalia; Rodentia; Muridae. The record is from RefSeq and is a predicted model, not a curated record. The transcript has 2 exons.
GGCUUCUGACCCUGUCAACAGUUUGGUCAGAAAAGCUCUGCCGUGUGCUUCACUGUGUUCCCCAUCUCAAUGCCAGGGAGGAGUUGGGAACCCCAAUCCUGAUUCCUGUUUUGUUGUUUUUUGAGAUAGGGUUUUUCUGUGUAGCCAUGGCUGUCCUGGAACUUGCUCUGUAGACCAGGCUGUCCUUGAACUCCCAGAGAUCUGCCCGCCUCUGCCUCCUGAGUGCUGGGAUUAAAGGCAUGUGCCACCACUGCCUGUCUUUUUUUUUUUUUUUAAAUAAUGGUGACUAAAGUAAUUUCAGUGGCUGCUGAGAAGGCUGUCCAUUGUAAACCACACUCCGUCUUGGUUUAGGAAAUGGAGUCUCUAGUAGGACUCCUCUACUCUUUUCAGAGGAGCUGGUUUGUGCUCUCAGAGUCCCUGCUAAGGGUGUAGUUUGAUCGUUGAGGUCUUUUGUCCACUGCUUUGUGCCUAAGAAUAAACACUGUCAUCAGCAGCUUGAAGACCUGAUGCAGGAGAAGCAGCUGCCGUCUCCUUCUCCUGAGGAGGGACCAUGGAAGGAAAAGCAGGUGGCAGGAGUACAGUCAAGGCAUCUGUUUCAUCUGUCCCCAGCUGCCAGACUUGUUCAGCUGCCAGGGGAAAGGGUGACUGGUGUAGAAAGAGGGUCAGAGAGAAAGGGCGGAAGUGGCAGGGCAAGGUGGAGGCUUGGCAGAACAGAGAUGGAAACCCACCUACAGAGAGUCAGGCUGAGGCAUCUGCUCUCCUCUGUCCUUCUAAGGUGAACAGGGCCAAGGAGGAGCUGGUGUUCCUGGGCAACAGAGAGCUGGCUCUGGGGCACCUGAGGAUGUUCGUGCUGACUCUUGUCUGUAGUCUGGGCUUUCAUUGUGCUUGAUUUUCAGGAUUUGACACUUUGUUGUUGUUGCUGUUUUUGGUUUUUCUUGACAGGGUCUCUCUGUGUAGUCCUGGCUGUCCUGGUACUCACCCUGUAGACCACGCUGGCUUGAACUUUGAGAUCUUUGACAUUUCGUUUUUAAUGUUUGGAAUAUUUAAUGGGUAUGGAAACAUUUCUUCCCCAGGGUGGAGGCAGUGACAAGGAGACAAACUGGUGGCUGAAGGUGAGGUGUUGGAAGAUCCCUGGGGGCCACCGCCACUUCAGCCCAAGAACUAGACAACCACCUUUCCUGAUCCCUUCUUCCCUCCGUCCCCCUGACCUCUGAUCCCUGACCACUGCUGGGAAUACCUUCACCUAUUAGUGCAUUAGGAGGACAGCUGUCAUUUAUGGGGACCAGGAGGCUAUGGGUGCUCUCUCCGUUGAGCAGCAUCUGAGCCUCUACUGGGCUUUGGGACAGGAACAUCCUGCUUUCCCCGCCUCCUCUCCUCUACCGUUCCCAUGAGAGAAGGACACCGGUUCCUGCAAAGUGAGAGGGGAAUGAAAUAUCCCAGAGAAAGAUGAGGUGAUCAGGUUAGAGAAAUGAGGGUGGAAACCGCCUGGGUAUGCAGUAACAUUUUAGAGUAGGUGUUCAUACUUUGUUUAAGUCCUGGGGAGAUGAGUUAGUGGGCAGAGAGGACUGGAGUCUGGAUUGCCAGAAUGCCGGCAAGCUCUGAGCAGCAGUGUGAAUCUGAGAGUUCCGAGAAGCUAAGAAUUCCAUCCACCUAAGCUGGUGUACGUAGUGGUGAAACCCAAGAAGGAUCCUGUCUCAAACGAGAUGGAAGGUGACAACACAUUCACACACACACACACACACACACACACAUGCACAAGCACACGAACAUGCACGCACACACACCAUAUAUACGUAUAAAGAACUUUUAAAAAGAAGUCUGUGCUCAUAUGAUGGCAAAAUGUUCAGGACCAACAUGUUCCAUAUGAAGAGUCGUUAGUCUGCAGCAUACCACAAAGUGUGGCUCAGGCCCUUUAGGAAUGCUUGUUCUCUCGGUAAAGCAGAGACAGGUAAGAACAUGAAAUUCAUGUAAGUGACUGCAACACUAGAGACGUUUAUCUCUAGAAUAUACAGUCUGAGCUAAGUUUGGGGCACAGAAGGAGAAAUGGUAGUGCUGAGGAAAGCUGGUCUGCUCUGCUUGACGGUUUUGGCAGGCUUCUGAGAGGAGGUGAGGGAGAGGAUGCUGGUGGAUGAUGGAGAAAUGGCCCUGGUGAAGGAACUGAAGGAAGAGUGAGCCAGCAGAGGGAAUGUGGAGUGACAUGUGUUCUUCUGGUUAACAGAGCAGCACAGCAGCCAUGGUCAGCAGAUAGAGUUGAGAUUUAAAAGAGUUGCUCUCCACCUCAACCACUGCUAAGAAAUGGGGAGCUUGGAAGCCACAGAGACAAGUGCCGAAUCAUGACUGUGAACCUAUCAUUGACUGUGACACAGGAGUCAGGAAGCUGUGACUGCAGCUUUUGGAUACAGAGCCAAGUGUUCAAGUUCGGUCUCACCGAGGGGUUGUUUGUAAGAAGAACCCAAGUCACUCUCUAAAAUGCAAUGUGAUGGAGUCUGGUCGUUCAUCUUCUGCAUCAAGGAUGCCCGUGUUCACUGCCCCAUUUAAAUUCCAGUGAAGAAACAAAACAGCUACAUGCUCCUGAUGCAACCAUUGCUCACACAACCCCCUCCACCAAUCCAUCCCUGUUUGUGGCCAUUCAUCUAACUAAGAGAUGUCAGAGGCUGUGAUGAUAGGACUCAGUACACAGACCACAUCUGGAGCCUCAGCUAUAGCUAGACUCACAGUCUGAUUACUUACUGACUGCCAUCACUCUUCAAGUAGAGGAUAGACAUGUACAGAGGUACAGUAAAUGAGACUGUGUGUGACCAGGGUCAUCAGUGGCCUUCAGGUAAGCUAGCUCUCAGAAAUGGAGACAAGAGGGCCAGAGAGAUCCUGAUUUUUGUGUUUCCUGUAUCCUUGGUUUAACCACCAGUGCCAUGCCAGAUUGCAAGCAUCCGAAGUGCUGCCACUGAAGACUUAGGAAGUCAUGGGGAAAACCUCCUGAUUGCCUCCCAAACAUGAGGAAAUGAAUUUGGAAGCUCAAUAUCCAUGUAAAUGCCAGGAUCUUAAGUUCUUACUCAACCCAUGACGAGGGAGUCUCAUUUACCAAGAGCUGGUGAAAAGCCCUGAAAAGGCUGGCGUUUCUCUUCGGUCAGUGCGCUCACUCCCCUGAACGACCACUGUUGCCUUGGAGGGAGUUUGGGAAGGAGGGUUACAGCAUCAGCUUGUUAUGUCAUGUGCUGUAUACAGGACACCGUUCUCCUUCUAACCUGAUGUGGUCUAGGAAUUUGGUGAAGAUGCAUGCCCCUGUGAUGUUCUUAAACACGCUGUCAUUUCGCUAGAUCUCAACGUCUCCUCCCCUUUCUGCUGUUUGUGUAGGAUCCUGAUGCAGUGCCUCACACAUGUUAGUUCUUACUAUCCACAGUCAGCCGGCAACUACAGGUCCCUUUAUCUGCAGGUCCCUCUGGUUCUGUUGCUGUCUGUUUACCUCUACCAUACUUGUAUUUCUUACAUAGCCAACGCUUUAUUUGUAGUUUUACAACAUAACCAAUGCUGGGAUCUGAUUACCCAGGAACAGGGCUGGGGAGAUAGCUCGGACAAUAAAGGGCAUGCCACACCAGUAAGGAACUUGGCAUCACCCCCAGAACUCAUAUAAAAAGACAGGUAUAGGGCUGGAGAGACCAUUCAGCACUUACGAGCCUCUAUUGCACUGGUAGAGGACCUGGAUUUAGUUCCCGGCUCACACAUAAUGGCUCACACCAUCUGCAGCUCCAGUUCCAGGGGAUCGGACCUCCACAGGCACCAGUCAUGUGCGUCCAUCCAUACAGCCACAACACUCAUUCACGUUCAGUAAGAGCCUUGAACACCUGCAGCUGAGGCACAGGGAUUCGGAGACAGGAAGAUCUGUAGGGCUCACUAGCCAGACAGCCUCGCCCAGGACUAUUGAGAGACCACUGUCUCAAAAUGACAUGGGGAGUGGCUGAGGAAGAUACCUGACAUCCACCCGUGACCUCCCCACGCGUGUGCCCACACAUACUCACAUACCUUUCACAUGUGCACCCCCCCACAUAUGCAUGCCCCUGAACAUGCCUAUUCAUGUAUGUGCACACACAUGUAACCACACACACAAAACGUACAUUCUGUUCUUUUCCAUUUCCUUCCCCUUCCCUUCUUAUCUCUCCUUCUUCCCACUUUCCUUCCUUCACUUUCUCUUCUCCACUUCCACCUCACUGACAUACGAACUUUAUAACUGGCUCCCUGAAACACGAAGAUUGUCUUAUGGCGGAUCUGGAGGCUAAGUCAAAUGUUGAGGGUGGAGGACAGCCACAGUCUCUCAGCAAGCAGGACUAGCUUUCUUAGGUAGGAUAGGAGAGGUGGUCUCUGCCUGUGGGAGAUACUUGAUGGAGUUGUGGGGAUUUCGGGUGAUUAGAUUUACCUGAAACCCCCUGGAUACCAUCACUCUGAUUUGGGGGGGGGGACUGUGAUCUUAAUGACCCAUUACUCUGACUUUCACAUAAGGAAUCCGGUGAGGCUGUGAGGUCAGCCAACACUGCAAGUCAAGAACCUGGGGAAUGAAAGUCUGCAUGUAAACUUGGACCCCAUUCACUCACUAGCUCUGAGGGUGAUGCCACUGGUUUAAAGCAACCUGGGAUACUUUGGGGACUGUCCUGAUUCUGCAGAAGUAUCUUGAGCCCUGCACUGAGUGCUCUGUUAUUUCUCUACUGUUAUCUCUGGAGUUCACACUGCAGUCAUGGCCACAGUUCCUGUUUGUGGACCAGGUGGGCACUACCGGGGGGAGGUUAGGUUGGAGGGGAGCCUGUAGGCUGGCAGACAGGGCCAGUGCCUGAUGGGUGGUUUGGUGGAGAUGUCAAUGGAAGGCCCAGUUUUAUGAGGAGGCUAUGCUAGCAGCAGGGGCUGGGAAUAGCACAGGAAGAGAAAAGAUGCUGCUAUUCACUUAGCCUCCUGCACAUAAAUAGGGGUAAAUAGGUGACCUGUAUCAGUAAGUCCUGCACAUAACCAGCCUCCACAAGGGAUGAAACAAGGAAGCUCUGCCAAACUCAAAAUCAGGGCUUAGCAAAUGCUAGUUCUGAUGAUCACUAAAUUAAGUUAUGGAUGGAAGGAACUGAUGAGAGGCUGAUAGGGUGGUUUGCAGAGGUGGGCAGAACUGACAACUGUGAAAAAGAUACAGGAGGGAAGAGCAGUGGAGGAGGUUGGUGAAGGGCCCGGCUGCACUUCUCUUUCUUGUUCCCCUCUAACCUCAUCUGUUGGUAACAGCUCAAGGUAAAAUUCACAUGCUAUACAGUUCAGCCAUGGAAAUCAUACAACUCAAAACGGUUUUGAUUAUAUUCCCACAUGGUGCACUCAUCACUACAAGCAACUAUAGGACGUUUUCAUCAUCUCAAAACCAAACCAAAGACUGAGGGUACGGCUCAGCGGAAGAGCACUUGCCUAACGUGUGGUUCCAUCGACAGCUCUGCAAGCAAGCAAACAACUCCUCUGUUUUCUUCAGCUGUCACCCCCGAUUCUCAUCACCCCAAAUCAAAGAACCAACUAAUCUGUUUCCCAUCUCUGCGUUCCUAGGUUGGCUAUUUCACAGAAAUGAAGUAAAACUGCACACCAGCCA